This 286-nucleotide ribosomal RNA is filed under the name Escherichia coli. RNAcentral's name for it is "partial 16S ribosomal RNA". It matches the Rfam family "Bacterial small subunit ribosomal RNA", at positions 511 to 796 of the family's 1533-position model. Lineage: Bacteria; Pseudomonadati; Pseudomonadota; Gammaproteobacteria; Enterobacterales; Enterobacteriaceae. The record is from RNAcentral.
GCCGCCGCGGUAAUACAGAGGGUGCAAGCGUUAAUCGGAAUUACUGGGCGUAAAGCGCGCGUAGGUGGUUCGUUAAGUUGGAUGUGAAAUCCCCGGGCUCAACCUGGGAACUGCAUUCAAAACUGACUGGCUAGAGUAUGGUAGAGGGUGGUGGAAUUUCCUGUGUAGCGGUGAAAUGCGUAGAUAUAGGAAGGAACACCAGUGGCGAAGGCGACCACCUGGACUGAUACUGACACUGAGGUGCGAAAGCGUGGGGAGCAAACAGGAUUAGAAACCCCUGUAGUCC